AGUGAACGCUGGCGGUAGGCCUAACACAUGCAAGUCGAACGGCAGCACAGAGGAGCUUGCUCCUUGGGUGGCGAGUGGCGGACGGGUGAGGAAUGCAUCGGAAUCUACUCUGUCGUGGGGGAUAACGUAGGGAAACUUACGCUAAUACCGCAUACGACCUACGGGUGAAAGCAGGGGACCUUCGGGCCUUGCGCGAUUGAAUGAGCCGAUGUCGGAUUAGCUAGUUGGCGGGGUAAAGGCCCACCAAGGCGACGAUCCGUAGCUGGUCUGAGAGGAUGAUCAGCCACACUGGAACUGAGACACGAUCCAGACUCCUACGGGAGGCAGCAGUGGGGAAUAUUGGACAAUGGGCGCAAGCCUGAUCCAGCCAUACCGCGUGGGUGAAGAAGGCCUUCGGGUUGUAAAGCCCUUCUGUUGGGAAAGAAAUCCAGCUGGUUAAUACCCGGUUGGGAUGACGGUACCCAAAGAAUAAGCACCGGCUAACUUCGUGCCAGCAGCCGCCGUAA
Molecule: ribosomal RNA, 506 nt
Filed under: uncultured bacterium
Lineage: Bacteria
Description: partial 16S ribosomal RNA
Rfam family: Bacterial small subunit ribosomal RNA
Source: RNAcentral